UCCCUUUUAUUUGUUCUUAAAAAAUGCAACGAGGGUAAAUGAAACCGACAGACCUUCUCGUCCGACUCCUUCCGCUGAUGACUAGUGAUUGCUCUCGUCUUUUGAGUGAAGCACGAAAAGAGGCUGGCCGACUUGGUGCAUUGCGUAAGCGCAGACCAAUGGCAGGCGGAGCCAGUGAGACUGUACGCUCUCUCAGCUCUCGCUCCCGCACGCAGCUUUUGGGUUCGUCAGGUGUUCUGAAGGCGGAGAACAGAACGGAAGCUCAUUCCCGGCAGUCAGCCACUUCCCGAUUCCGCACGAUUGAACCUUUGGACACGCCACACCGUUUCACCCUGUCAAAUGAGUUUCUCCGUUCGUUGGGCUGGUGGUCCUAGAGAGCACCUGCUACUAAUGGACAACUGGAUGCGGGAUUUUUAAAGUUUGUUGUUCUGGGUGAAGCGAACGUUAAAACAAAAACAAAAAGUGCUUUCCGACAUUGUGUUUCAAUCUGCAAGCAACGACUCCCAAACAGGAUUAUUAAGUUUCACGCGGGAGCCCUCACAGCUAAAGGGUUGUAUUGGCGUACCACCUCCGAACCACACCCGCUCUUUUGCUGCUUGUUAGUCAACGCAUUUCCACCAAAUCAACACCUUCCGCUCCGUUUCCGUUGCACAAAAAGCGGAUCAGGUCUCCAGGCUGGAACAAAUGGAAGGCUCGGAUAUUAUGCUGACUAUCUUUUUGAUCGGCCUGGGUACCCUCUUUUGGGUCGGCCUAAUGGCGGUCGGCUGUUACUGCCUCCACCUACGUCGCAAGCGGCUCCGCUCGCAUCGCGCCAAUCUCGAGGAGGAGGAGAUUAUUUUGCCCGUUCCCAAGAGCCAGCAGCAAUAUUAUGCCAUGGCCAGCCAUGCGUCGUCAUCUUCCGGAUUCACCCGCAAACUCAGAAAUCUCGGUGGUAUUGGAUUCCGCUCGCCCCUCAUCCGCACACGUUCCGUCGGAGCCCAACUCGAUGCGGGAGUCAGUGCGACUCUGCCGCUGUUGACGUCGCGGCCGGCUACGGCCACCGCGACGGCCUCCGCCUCGACCACAUCGACGCCCGUUAACGGCCGGCGAGGCUCCGAUCGUCUCAGGACGGCGGGAAAUUUGAACAUCGGAGCGAGGGCGGUGUCUACAUCCAACAGUUCGACUAACGGCGGACCGUCGGGCAAUGGAAACGCAGUCGGAAAUGGGGCAGCCAACAGCCACUCGCCUGGAGGUUCGGUCCUGGGCGCCGUAGGUGGACCUGUCUCGUCCCUGUCGCCCACCUCGUCCCCAGCGCCGUCCUCUGCAAUGAAUAAGAGCAUUGCCGGCCAGAAACAGGAGCAUCCAUCGAUGGCCUUUUGGCAGAAUCGUUCCAUAUCCCUGGUGGACAUGUACAUCGACAAUUCGGAGCCGACGGAGAACGUUGGCCAGAUCCACUUCAGCCUCGAAUACGAUUUCCAGAACACGACUCUCAUUCUCAAAAUCAUGCAGGGCAAGGAUCUGCCGCCAAUGGACAUGGGCGGCACGUCAGACCCUUACGUACGUGUCACCCUGUUGCCGGACAAGAAGCACCGGCUAGAGACCAAGAUCAAGAGAAGGACGCUCAACCCACGCUGGAACGAGACAUUCUACUUUGAAGGAUUCCCCAUCCAGAAAUUGCAAAGCCGAGUACUGCACCUGCACGUCUUCGAUUACGACCGAUUCUCACGUGACGAUUCGAUUGGUGAAGUCUUUCUGCCUCUUUGUCAGGUGGAUUUUUCGGAGAAGCCCGUCUUCUGGAAGGCACUCAAACCGCCGCUAAAAGACAAAUGCGGUGAAUUGCUCGUCUCCCUUUGUUACCAUCCCACUAAUUCGACGCUGACUUUGAUCGCCCUUAAAGCCCGCAAUCUCAAAGCGAAGGACAUUAACGGCAAAUCGGAUCCUUACGUCAAGGUGUGGCUCUACUUUGGCGAAAAGCGGGUCGAGAAACGUAAGACGCCCGUCUACAAGUGCACCCUGGAGCCGGUGUUUAACGAGACGUUCACCUUCAACGUGCCGUGGGAAAAGAUCCGCGAAUGUUCCUUAGACGUGCGCGUCAUGGAUUUCGACAACAUCGGCCGCAACGAACUCAUUGGCCGCAUUUCCCUAACUGGUAAGAACAGUACGGGUGCCUCGGAGACCAAACAUUGGCAAGAUAUGAUCACGAAGCCACGUCAGGCCGUGGUCCAGUGGCACCGUUUGAAACCAGAAUGAAGCAAUUGUGGGGCGGUGGACGUGCGCAAGCCAAUUGACGAAUGAAACGGAAGAAAAGAAACAAAAGUUUAUUCUUUAUUUCAAACGACCUCAUAAAAAGCGUCUUACGAUCUAUUUUGUUGAUCGAAAUGGCUUCGUUCACGACUCAAGACUGAAAUUCGCCGUGCAACGGAUAUUAAAAGAGAAGAUUGGCAAAUUUUGUUUCUUUCUAGUAUGGUUGCCCGUCUUUCUUUUUGUUCACUUUGAGCUUUUUCUUCGUUUGAAAUGGUUUUUCUUUUACAAACCAAAAACGGGGGUGGGGGGGAGGAAAUAUUGACGACAUUUCUGUCCUUUUACGGUCGUAUUAUUCUUUUUAUUUUUGCUACGUUAGAGCAAGACUUUGUCGAGAUGACAUCCCUUCACUAUGAUCAAUUAAAAACACACACAAAAAAAGAUGAUCUGAUUUAACCAAGAGAAAAAAAAGAACUAUUGAUAUGAAAAAUGUAUUUGUCGACAGAAAGAAGAAAAAGAAGACAUAAUAGUGACAAAAGUAUAUUUAUCAAAUCAUCCCAUAUAUGCACGGUGACAAAUUUAUACAUUUAGUGUGUGUGCGUGUGUGUGACUUGUUGCCAACGUCGACUGUAGAUUUGAUUUUCGUCUUUUAUGUAUUAUUGACUGUGGAUUAUUAUUAUAAUUUUUUUUUUUAUAUACCGAAAAAAAAAUAAUCAAGUUACUAGCAAAACACUACAAAAAUGCUACCAGAACCCCUUUUCCACUCUAGAAAUCCUUGGGCCCAUCUUUAAUUUUCGGUUCAAUUCUUCUGUUCAUUUUUAUUAAAUAUUAUUAUUGCUCGUUGGAUCUUCUGUCGUGAAGUAGUUUCUACCACACGAAAUCCCACCCGCGCCCUCGUUGCCCUUAGUCUCUCGUCUCAUCUUUCGCUUUCCUACGUCUGUCGUGUCUGAACGAUGCGAUGACAAAAUUGAUCCUCUGUGUUUGUAUCCCCUGUUCAAUGUAUAGAGAAAACCCAUCCAUAACCUUUCAUACCAGAAAUUGAAGAAAAGAGAUGAAGAAAUACACAAAAAUUAUACCAUGUAAA
RNAcentral lists this unclassified non-coding RNA (3304 nucleotides) under Daphnia magna. RNAcentral's name for it is "synaptotagmin-7, transcript variant X9". The record is from RNAcentral. Lineage: Eukaryota; Metazoa; Arthropoda; Branchiopoda; Diplostraca; Daphniidae.